GAUCCUGGCUCAGAUUGAACGCUGGCGGCAUGCUUUACACAUGCAAGUCGAACGGCAGCACGGGCUUCGGCCUGGUGGCGAGUGGCGAACGGGUGAGUAAUGCAUCGGAACGUACCCAUUUGUGGGGGAUAACUACGCGAAAGCGUGGCUAAUACCGCAUACGCCCUGAGGGGGAAAGCGGGGGAUUCUUCGGAACCUCGCGCGAAUGGAGCGGCCGAUAUCAGAUUAGCUAGUUGGUGGGGUAAAAGCUCACCAAGGCGACGAUCUGUAGCUGGUCUGAGAGGACGACCAGCCACACUGGAACUGAGACACGGUCCAGACUCCUACGGGAGGCAGCAGUGGGGAAUUUUGGACAAUGGGCGCAAGCCUGAUCCAGCAAUGCCGCGUGCAGGAUGAAGGCCUUCGGGUUGUAAACUGCUUUUGUACGGAACGAAACGGUUCUUUCUAAUAAAGAGAGCUAAUGACGGUACCGUAAGAAUAAGCACCGGCUAACUACGUG
RNAcentral lists this ribosomal RNA (499 nucleotides) under uncultured bacterium. RNAcentral describes it as "bacterial SSU rRNA". It matches the Rfam family "Bacterial small subunit ribosomal RNA", at positions 15 to 507 of the family's 1533-position model. The record is from RNAcentral.